Molecule: ribosomal RNA, 468 nt
Filed under: uncultured bacterium
Lineage: Bacteria
Description: partial 16S ribosomal RNA
Rfam family: Bacterial small subunit ribosomal RNA
Source: RNAcentral
GACGAACGCUGGCGGCGUGCUUAACACAUGCAAGUCGAACGGAAAGGCCCUGCUUUUGUGGGGUGCUCGAGUGGCGAACGGGUGAGUAACACGUGAGUAACCUGCCCUUGACUUUGGGAUAACUUCAGGAAACUGGGGCUAAUACCGGAUAGGAGCUCCUGCUGCAUGGUGGGGGUUGGAAAGUUUCGGCGGUUGGGGAUGGACUCGCGGCUUAUCAGCUUGUUGGUGGGGUAGUGGCUUACCAAGGCUUUGACGGGUAGCCGGCCUGAGAGGGUGACCGGCCACAUUGGGACUGCGGGACGGCCCAGACUCCUACGGGAGGCAGCAGUGGGGAAUAUUGCACAAUGGGCGGAAGCCUGAUGCAGCAACGCCGCGUGCGGGAUGACGGCCUUCGGGUUGUAAACCGCUUUCGCCUGUGACGAAGCGUGAGUGACGGUAAUGGGUAAAGAAGCACCGGCUAACUACGUG